Molecule: transfer RNA, 96 nt
Filed under: Aromia moschata
Lineage: Eukaryota; Metazoa; Arthropoda; Insecta; Coleoptera; Cerambycidae
Description: tRNA-OTHER
Source: RNAcentral
GCCGCGGCGAUAGCUCAGUGAGUAAAGCGCCAGGUGAGAAGAUGGCGAUUACUCCGAGAGCUAUUAUCUGCGCGGGUUCGAAUCCCGCCUGUGACA